RNAcentral lists this ribosomal RNA (1031 nucleotides) under Vibrio campbellii. RNAcentral's name for it is "bacterial SSU rRNA". It matches the Rfam family "Bacterial small subunit ribosomal RNA", at positions 77 to 1107 of the family's 1533-position model. Lineage: Bacteria; Pseudomonadati; Pseudomonadota; Gammaproteobacteria; Vibrionales; Vibrionaceae. The record is from RNAcentral.
CGAUAACGGCGUCGAGCGGCGGACGGGUGAGUAAUGCCUAGGAAAUUGCCCUGAUGUGGGGGAUAACCAUUGGAAACGAUGGCUAAUACCGCAUAACGCCUACGGGCCAAAGAGGGGGACCUUCGGGCCUCUCGCGUCAGGAUAUGCCUAGGUGGGAUUAGCUAGUUGGUGAGGUAAGGGCUCACCAAGGCGACGAUCCCUAGCUGGUCUGAGAGGAUGAUCAGCCACACUGGAACUGAGACACGGUCCAGACUCCUACGGGAGGCAGCAGUGGGGAAUAUUGCACAAUGGGCGCAAGCCUGAUGCAGCCAUGCCGCGUGUGUGAAGAAGGCCUUCGGGUUGUAAAGCACUUUCAGUCGUGAGGAAGGUAGUGUAGUUAAUAGCUGCAUUAUUUGACGUUAGCGACAGAAGAAGCACCGGCUAACUCCGUGCCAGCAGCCGCGGUAAUACGGAGGGUGCGAGCGUUAAUCGGAAUUACUGGGCGUAAAGCGCAUGCAGGUGGUUUGUUAAGUCAGAUGUGAAAGCCCGGGGCUCAACCUCGGAAUUGCAUUUGAAACUGGCAGACUAGAGUACUGUAGAGGGGGGUAGAAUUUCAGGUGUAGCGGUGAAAUGCGUAGAGAUCUGAAGGAAUACCGGUGGCGAAGGCGGCCCCCUGGACAGAUACUGACACUCAGAUGCGAAAGCGUGGGGAGCAAACAGGAUUAGAUACCCUGGUAGUCCACGCCGUAAACGAUGUCUACUUGGAGGUUGUGGCCUUGAGCCGUGGCUUUCGGAGCUAACGCGUUAAGUAGACCGCCUGGGGAGUACGGUCGCAAGAUUAAAACUCAAAUGAAUUGACGGGGGCCCGCACAAGCGGUGGAGCAUGUGGUUUAAUUCGAUGCAACGCGAAGAACCUUACCUACUCUUGACAUCCAGAGAACUUUCCAGAGAUGGAUUGGUGCCUUCGGGAACUCUGAGACAGGUGCUGCAUGGCUGUCGUCAGCUCGUGUUGUGAAAUGUUGGGUUAAGUCCCGCAACGAGCGCAACCCUUA